This 447-nucleotide ribosomal RNA is filed under the name Nitrososphaerota archaeon. RNAcentral describes it as "Thaumarchaeota archaeon partial 23S ribosomal RNA". It matches the Rfam family "Archaeal large subunit ribosomal RNA", at positions 2585 to 2987 of the family's 2987-position model. Lineage: Archaea; Thermoproteati; Nitrososphaerota. The record is from RNAcentral.
GGGUAAAGUUGCGAUGUCGGCUCUUCCCAUCCUGGUCCUGCAGCAGGGGCCAAGGGUGGGGCUGCUCGCCCAUCAAAGGGGAACGUGAGCUGGGUUUAGACCGUCGUGAGACAGGUCGGCCUCUACCUGAUGGAAGCGGUGGUUCACUGAGGGGAAGCCCUGCCCAGUACGAGAGGAACAGCGGGGCGUUGCCUCUGGCGUACCGGUCGUCCGAGAGGGCGUCGCCGGGCAGCUAAGCAAUCGUGGAUAACCGCUGAAAGCAUCUAAGCGGGAAGCCACUCCCGAGAAGAGUGAGCCGUCCGUCCUAACCUCCCCCUCAAAAGGGAGGAGCGGAUGGAGGAGAGAUCCCAUAGAAGAUGGGUUUGAAGUAGUCCCAGUGUACGCAAGAAGCCCGCAAGGGCGACUUGUUCAGCUGGCGGACUAACUACCUCUCAACGCAGGAUGAGU